Molecule: ribosomal RNA, 454 nt
Filed under: uncultured bacterium
Lineage: Bacteria
Description: bacterial SSU rRNA
Rfam family: Bacterial small subunit ribosomal RNA
Source: RNAcentral
AGAGUUUGAUCCUGGCUCAGGAUGAACGCUAGCGGGAGGCCUAACACAUGCAAGUCGAACGGGAUUGAGAGCUUGCUCUCAUGAGAGUGGCGCACGGGUGAGUAACGCGUAUGCAACCUACCUAUAUCUGAGGGAUAGCCCAUAGAAAUGUGGAUUAAUACCUCAUAGUUCUUUUGAUCCGCAUGGAUUAAAAGAUAAAGCUCCGGCGGUUAUAGAUGGGCAUGCGUGACAUUAGCUAGUUGGUAAGGUAACGGCUUACCAAGGCUACGAUGUCUAGGGGUUCUGAGAGGAUGAUCCCCCACACUGGUACUGAGACACGGACCAGACUCCUACGGGAGGCAGCAGUGAGGAAUAUUGGUCAGUGGGCGCAAGCCUGAACCAGCCAUCCCGCGUGCAGGAUGAAGGCCCUAUGGGUCGUAAACUGCUUUUAUACACCAAGAAAAACACCCACGUG